This 207-nucleotide ribosomal RNA is filed under the name uncultured bacterium. Its description in RNAcentral is "partial 16S ribosomal RNA". It matches the Rfam family "Bacterial small subunit ribosomal RNA", at positions 568 to 774 of the family's 1533-position model. The record is from RNAcentral.
CGUGUAGGCGGCCGACUAAGUCUGAUGUGAAAUACCCGCUUUUAAGGUGGGUCGUGCAUUGGAAACUGGAUGGCUAGAGUGCGGAAGAGGUAAGUGGAAUUCCCAGUGUAGCGGUGAAAUGCGUAGAGAUUGGGAGGAACACCAGCGGCGAAGGCGACUUACUGGGCCGCAACUGACGCUGAGGCUCGAAAGCAUGGGUAGCAAACA